GGACCUUACCCAGGCUUGACAUACAGUAGACAACGCUAGAGAUAGCGUCUCCCGCAAGGGCUGCUGUACAGGUGCUGCAUGGCUGUCGUCAGCUCGUGCCGUGAGGUGUUGGGUUAAGUCCCGCAACGAGCGCAACCCUUAUCAUUAGUUGCCAGCACGUAAUGGUGGGAACUCUAGUGAGACUGCCCGGGUUAACCGGGAGGAAGGUGAGGAUGACGUCAAGUCCGCAUGGCCCUUAUGUCUGGGGCUACACACGUGCUACAAUGGUCGGUACAGAGGGCAGCCAAACCGCGAGGUGGAGCAAAUCCCAUAAAACCGACCCCAGUUCAGAUUGUAGUUUGCAACUUGACUACAUGAAGUUGGAAUGCUAGUAAUGGCGCGUCA
Molecule: ribosomal RNA, 384 nt
Filed under: uncultured bacterium
Lineage: Bacteria
Description: bacterial SSU rRNA
Rfam family: Bacterial small subunit ribosomal RNA
Source: RNAcentral